Molecule: unclassified non-coding RNA, 219 nt
Filed under: Rhodotorula mucilaginosa
Lineage: Eukaryota; Fungi; Basidiomycota; Microbotryomycetes; Sporidiobolales; Sporidiobolaceae
Description: ITS2
Source: RNAcentral
ACACUUCAACCCUCCUCUUUCUUAAUGAUUGAAGAGGUGUUUGGAUUCUGAGCGCUGCUGGCCUUUAUUGGUCUUAGCUCGUUCGUAAUGCAUUAGCAUCCGCAAUCGAACUUUCGGAUUGACUUGGCGUAAUAGACUAUUCGCUGAGGAAUUCUAGUCUUCGGACUAGAGCCGGGUUGGAUUAAAGGAAGCUUCUAAUCAGAAUGUCUACAUUUUAAG